RNAcentral lists this transfer RNA (73 nucleotides) under Myotis lucifugus (little brown bat). It matches the Rfam family "tRNA". From Rfam's summary of the family: Transfer RNA (tRNA) molecules are approximately 80 nucleotides in length. The record is from Rfam by way of RNAcentral. Lineage: Eukaryota; Metazoa; Chordata; Mammalia; Chiroptera; Vespertilionidae.
GCCAGUUUGGCUCAGUGGAUAGAGCAUUGGCCUGUGGACCAAAGGUUCCCAGGUUAGAUUCCUGGAUUUGAUU